RNAcentral lists this ribosomal RNA (233 nucleotides) under uncultured bacterium. RNAcentral describes it as "partial 16S ribosomal RNA". It matches the Rfam family "Bacterial small subunit ribosomal RNA", at positions 96 to 334 of the family's 1533-position model. The record is from RNAcentral.
UGGCGGACGGGUGAGUAAUGUCUGGGAAACUGCCUGAUGGAGGGGGGUAACUACUGGAAACGGUAGCUAAUACCGCAUAACGUCGCAAGACCAAGAGGGGACCUUCGGGCCUCUUGCCAUCGGAUGUGCCCAGAUGGGAUUAGCUAGUAGGUGGGGUAACGGCUCACCUAGGCGACGAUCCCUAGCUGGUCUGAGAGGAUGACCAGCCACACUGGAACUGAGACACGGUCCAG